AGAGUUUGAUCAUGGCUCAGAGUGAACGCUGGCGGCAGGCCUAAUACAUGCAAGUCGAACGGCAGCACAGCAGAGCUUGCUCUGUGGGUGGCGGGUGGCGGACGGGUGAGGAAUACAUGGGAAUCUGCCCAGUCGUGGGGGACAACGUAGGGAAACUUACGCUAAUACCGCAUGCGCCCUUCGGGGGAAAGCCGGGGACCUUCGGGCCUGGCGCGAUUGGAUGAGCCCAUGUCGGAUUAGCUAGUUGGCGGGGUAAUGGCCCACCAAGGCGACGAUCCGUAGCUGGUCUGAGAGGAUGAUCAGCCACACUGGAACUGAGACACGGUCCAGACUCCUACGGGAGGCAGCAGUAGGGAAUAUUGGACAAUGGGCGCAGGCCUGAUCCAGCCAUGCCGCGUGAGUGAAGAAGGCCCUCGGGUUGUAAAGCUCUUUUGUCCGGAAAGAAAAGCGCCGGGUUAAUACCCUGGUGUCCUGACGGUACCGGAAGAAUAAGCACCGGCUAACUUCGUG
Molecule: ribosomal RNA, 510 nt
Filed under: uncultured bacterium
Lineage: Bacteria
Description: bacterial SSU rRNA
Rfam family: Bacterial small subunit ribosomal RNA
Source: RNAcentral